AAAAAAAAACUUCAAUAGCCUUGUGAGAGGGCGGCAAAAAAAUAAUUGAUGUCAAAACUUGCAAAAUUAAAGGUGAUGGAAAAAAUUAAUAAAUAUCCGAAAACAUCUCUAUCCAAAUUCUACAAGCUUAAUUCAAAAGAAUUAACAAAAUUGCCCCAAAAAUAGAAUUGAAAGGUUCAGAGAGAUGGGCAAUACAAAAGAAUCGGAGGCGAGUUCACCCGUUAUGCUGGCUUUGCUCUUUUUAUUAUUUUUAAAUUAAUGGGGAGGAUACGUUGGCGGCUGAUUUCUGAGAGACUUGCCAAAAGAAAAUUGAGGAAUUUCUUCGGUUGGUGGGUGUUGAGUGACUUUCUUCGGUUGGUAGGUGGGUAUUGAGGACUUUCA
This 381-nucleotide long non-coding RNA is filed under the name Citrus sinensis (sweet orange). Its description in RNAcentral is "long non-coding RNA (CSIN_LNC003418)". The record is from RNAcentral. Lineage: Eukaryota; Viridiplantae; Streptophyta; Magnoliopsida; Sapindales; Rutaceae.